RNAcentral lists this ribosomal RNA (473 nucleotides) under uncultured bacterium. Its description in RNAcentral is "bacterial SSU rRNA". It matches the Rfam family "Bacterial small subunit ribosomal RNA", at positions 917 to 1382 of the family's 1533-position model. The record is from RNAcentral.
GGGCUCACACAAGCGGUGGAGCAUGUUGCUUAAUUCGAGGCAACGCGAAGAACCUUACCUGGGUUUGACAUGCACGGAUUAACUUUAUGAAAGUAGAGCCACACUCGCAAGAGUGGAACGUGCACAGGUGCUGCAUGGCUGUCGUCAGCUCGUGCUGUGAAGUGUCGGGUUAAGUCCCUUAACGAGCGCAACCCCUAUCGUUAGUUGCCACCAGGUCAUGCUGAGCACUCUAACGAGACUGCCGGCGUUAAGCCGGAGGAAGGUGGGGAUGACGUCAAGUCCUCAUGGCCCUUACAUCCAGGGUUGCAAACGUGCUACAAUGGUGCAGACAGAGCGAUGCAAGAGCGCAAGCUGGAGCAAAUCGCAAAAACUGCACCCCAGUUCGGAUUGUCGGCUGCAACCCGCCGGCAUGAAGUCGGAAUCGCUAGUAAUCGGGGAUCAGCUACGCCCCGGUGAAUAAGUUCCUGAGCCUU